CAGUAGCCGCGGGAAUACGUAGGGGGCGAGCGUUGUCCGAAGUUACUGGGCGUAAAGAGCGCGUAGGCGGGUCUUUAAGUGAGGGGUGAAAGGUUCAGGGCUCAACCCGGACACUGCCUUUCAUACUGGAGACCUUGAGUGUGGGAGAGGCGAGUGGAAUGGUCGGUGUAGCGGUGAAAUGCGUAGAUAUCGAUCGGAACACCCAUGGCGAAGGCAGCUCGCUGGCCUAUAACUGACGCUGAGGCGCGAAAGCGUGGGGAGCAAACAGGAUUAGAUACCCCUGUAGUCCCUGUCUCUUAUA
This 301-nucleotide ribosomal RNA is filed under the name uncultured bacterium. Its description in RNAcentral is "partial 16S ribosomal RNA". It matches the Rfam family "Bacterial small subunit ribosomal RNA", at positions 509 to 808 of the family's 1533-position model. The record is from RNAcentral.